RNAcentral lists this long non-coding RNA (1030 nucleotides) under Vigna radiata. RNAcentral describes it as "long non-coding RNA (VRAD_LNC018127)". The record is from RNAcentral. Lineage: Eukaryota; Viridiplantae; Streptophyta; Magnoliopsida; Fabales; Fabaceae.
GAUGUUGUAACAACAUCCAUCAGUAGAUGUUGUAGCAGCAUCCAUCAGUAGAUGUUGUAGCAGCAUCCAUCAGUAGAUGCUUUCCUUCAUCAUCCUCAUCAUAACAAAAUCCAUCAAUAAAUGUCAUUAUCUGAGUCCUCCUAUCAUCCAUUAGUAGAUGUUAUCAUCACUGCCAUAAGAAGCAGCAUAUAACCUAAAAAAAAACUCAAACACACAAAGAAAAAUCAAAUCCAACCACACAAAUAAUUCAAUUAAAAAGAAAAAGUCAGAAACUGGGUUGCCUCCCAGUAAGUGCUCUUUUAACGUCAUUAAUUUGACCUGGUAAAGCUCAAACACCCAUCAGUAAGUGUUGACAUUCUCCUUGCUUGAUAUUCUUUUCUUUUUCUUCUUUCUGCUGAAUAAGAAAGUUGAUAAAACCAAGCACCUAUUUCCAUGUUUCAAUCAUAGGAACUUUAAUCUCCAAUUUCUUGAAGAUCUCCAUAAAGCCCUUAAAUUUCUUUUCCUUCUGAUGAUACUUCUUUGGAUGAGGAAUGGAUUUUUCAUAUGAUCUUUUCUUUCUUCCUCUCAUCCUAUUUUUCUUACUCUCCAUCUCUCUCAAGUUUCUUUUUUUUUUUCUCUUACUUUCUUCUUUAUUUUCACACACUUUUUCUUUUCUUCUUUUCUCUCAACCACUUCUUUUUCCUUCUCUUCAUCUCUAUCUUCCUCACUCAACCUUUCUGUCUCUAUCUCCUCUAUCUUUUCCUCAUCUCUCCCAAUCUUUUCCUCAUCUCUCUCAAUCUUUUCCUCCUUUAUCUUUUCCUCAUCUCUCUCUAUCUUUUCCUUAUCAAUAACCUCGUCACUUUAGUGAUAGUGACUUGACAUUCCUCCCUAGGGAUAACUUUAGUAUUAACCCUAGAAUCAUCCAGAGGCUCAAUUAUGCAACCCAAUUCUAUCUCCAUCCUUUUACGUAAUUAAUAACGUCAGUCACCUAGAUACAGCAAAAUCAGUGUCAGUGCUACCACUUAUUGUUUGUAUUGUUAAGGAGUGUCAC